UAGGGAAUCUUCGGCAAUGGACGAAAGUCUGACCGAGCAACGCCGCGUGAGUGAAGAAGGUUUUCGGAUCGUAAAACUCUGUUGUUAGAGAAGAACAAGGACGUUAGUAACUGAACGUCCCCUGACGGUAUCUAACCAGAAAGCCACGGCUAACUACGUGCCAGCAGCCGCGGUAAUACGUAGGUGGCAAGCGUUGUCCGGAUUUAUUGGGCGUAAAGCGAGCGCAGGCGGUUUCUUAAGUCUGAUGUGAAAGCCCCCGGCUCAACCGGGUAUGGUCAUUGGAAACUUGGAGACUUGAGUGCAGAAGAGGAGAGUGGAAUUCCAUGUGUAGCGGUGAAAUGCGUAGAUAUAUGGAGGAACACCAGUGGCGAAGGCGGCUCUCUGGUCUGUAACUGACGCUGAGGCUCGAAAGCGUGGGGAGCAAACAGG
This 429-nucleotide ribosomal RNA is filed under the name Chloroflexota bacterium. RNAcentral's name for it is "Chloroflexi bacterium partial 16S ribosomal RNA". It matches the Rfam family "Bacterial small subunit ribosomal RNA", at positions 355 to 776 of the family's 1533-position model. The record is from RNAcentral. Lineage: Bacteria; Bacillati; Chloroflexota.